RNAcentral lists this ribosomal RNA (864 nucleotides) under Triticum aestivum (bread wheat). RNAcentral's name for it is "partial small subunit ribosomal RNA". The record is from RNAcentral. Lineage: Eukaryota; Viridiplantae; Streptophyta; Magnoliopsida; Poales; Poaceae.
AUGCCAAGACCCUGGAUGGGAACCCCAAUUCCUCCUUGCGACGGCAAUGACCUGCAGCUUUUUUCAGCUUGCACGGAGAUAUCACUUGGUAACGGGCAGAGGUCGCGGUUCUGGAAGGAUAGAUGGCUACAGGGCAUGGCUCCUUCGUCCAUCACCCCAGAGUUGUUUGCUUUGGCCCGUCGAAAGAAUCUAUCUGUUGCGGAUGCUCUUACCGCCAACAGGUGGAUGAAGGGCCUUCAAAGGAUGGAUAAUGUCAGGAUGAUUGAUCAAUUCAUUCAGCUUUGGGAGAUGCUCCAAUCUGUGACUCUCUCCGAUGAGCCUGAUUCUAUCUCCUGGAAGAUGAAUAAGGAUGGGGUUUACACUGCAAAAUCUGCAUAUGUUUGUCAGUUCUUUGGCCACAUUGAUGCGCCCUCUCUGCACACGGUUUGGAAGGUUAAAGCUGAGCCCAAGGUACGAUUUUACUUGUGGCUCCUGUUACAAAAUCGGAACUGGACUUCCGAUCGGUUGAUGGCGAGGGGAUGGCCUCAUUCGGCACAAUGCGUGCUGUGUGACCAAGAACCUGAGACGGCUGCGCACAUUACCCUGCUGUGUCCUUAUGCUCGGGAGGUCUGGUUCUCUUUCCAUCGUUCUGACGGAGCCGCUGCGGAGGCCGGCUCAACGAACAUCACUAUCAAAGGUUGGUGGCGACAAGUAUGGGCGCUACACAAGAGACCCGAGUUGGCUCCUGAGAUUACCACGGGGGUUUAUAUUGCCUGGAACCUAUGGAAAGAAAGAAAUAGAAGAACUUUUGAGGGUAAGAGAUGUUCUCCCGAGACUGUUGCUGCUUUAGCUAGAGAGGAGACGAGUCUGUACAGAGGCUUUUAG